GGAAGGAGAAGAGUAAGAGCCAAGUGAAGGGGAAACCCCAUUAUAAAACCAUCAGAUCUCAUGAGAACUCACUCACUAUCAUGAGAACAAUAUGGGGGAAACU
Molecule: long non-coding RNA, 103 nt
Organism: Sapajus apella (tufted capuchin)
Lineage: Eukaryota; Metazoa; Chordata; Mammalia; Primates; Cebidae
Exons: 3
Source: RefSeq, a predicted model, not a curated record